UAAAUGCCAACAGGUGUGCUCUCUACCCCGCCUCCGCUGAGCGUCCUUAGGGAGGCCUGUUGUCAAAACACAGGGAAGAUGUCCCAUCAAGCACAGUUCAACAUGUACUGAUAACUCGUACCACCACACAGAAUGAACAAAUGUUCAUCUUUCCACAUUUGUUCUUGAGUGUUCUUUUAGGAAACUUGGAGAGAGUUGGCAUCAUGCCCGGGCCUCACAUCGACUAAGGUGGAGAAAGAUUGAGAAAGAGCAGUAGCAACGCGGGUCUCCGUGUGCGCAUGCGCACACGUGCACAAGCGCACGGACAGGUACCUUCAAACAACAAAGAAGCUCUGAAGCAGGCCUGGAGGACCGGAGGAGCCAAGUCACCUCAGUAUCCAUCAGCUAUGCAACUCCAGCUAGACAGUCAUUUUACCCUGUUAGACGGAGAGCUGUAAUCCCAGAGCAUUGGAAAGCUGAGGCAGGAGACUGCGGAUUGUAGACCUGCUUGGGCUAUGUGGUUGAAUUCAAGGCCAGCUUGGGUAACCUACUGAGGGCCUGGCUCAUGAAAGGUGAAAAAGAUUUGGUUCAGUGUUUGCCUACCUAGCCUUGGCAAGUGCCUGGAUUCAUUCACUGGUAUUGUAAAAGAAAAUAAGCAAA
This 639-nucleotide small RNA is filed under the name Rattus norvegicus (Norway rat). RNAcentral's name for it is "uncharacterized LOC102550418". The record is from RNAcentral. Lineage: Eukaryota; Metazoa; Chordata; Mammalia; Rodentia; Muridae.